RNAcentral lists this transfer RNA (76 nucleotides) under Palleronia pontilimi. RNAcentral describes it as "tRNA-Thr". It matches the Rfam family "tRNA". From Rfam's summary of the family: Transfer RNA (tRNA) molecules are approximately 80 nucleotides in length. Their secondary structure includes four short double-helical elements and three loops (D, anti-codon, and T loops). The record is from RNAcentral. Lineage: Bacteria; Pseudomonadati; Pseudomonadota; Alphaproteobacteria; Rhodobacterales; Roseobacteraceae.
GCCUCUAUAGCUCAGUUGGUAGAGCAACUGAUUUGUAAUCAGUAGGUCCCGGGUUCGAUUCCUGGUGGGGGCACCA